RNAcentral lists this ribosomal RNA (206 nucleotides) under uncultured bacterium. RNAcentral describes it as "partial 16S ribosomal RNA". It matches the Rfam family "Bacterial small subunit ribosomal RNA", at positions 1287 to 1500 of the family's 1533-position model. The record is from RNAcentral.
CUCAGUUCGGAUUGGAGUCUGCAACCCGACUCCAUGAAGCUGGAUUCGCUAGUAAUCGCGCAUCAGCCACGGCGCGGUGAAUACGUUCCCGGGCCUUGUACACACCGCCCGUCAAGCCAUGGGAGCCGGGGGUGCCUGAAGUUCGUGACCGCAAGGAGCGACCUAGGGCAAAACUGGUGACUGGGGCUAAGUCGUAACAAGGUAGC